Molecule: ribosomal RNA, 489 nt
Filed under: uncultured bacterium
Lineage: Bacteria
Description: partial 16S ribosomal RNA
Rfam family: Bacterial small subunit ribosomal RNA
Source: RNAcentral
UUGCACGCUGGCGGCAGGCCUAACACAUGCCAGUCGAACGGUAACAGGAAGAAGCUUGCUUCUUUGCUGACGAGUGGCGGACGGGUGAGUAAUGUCCGGGAAACUGCCUGAUGGAGGGGGAUAACUACUGGAAACGGUAGCUAAUACCGCAUAACGUCGCAAGACCAAAGAGGGGGACCUUCGGGCCUCUUGCCAUCGGAUGUGCCCAGAUGGGAUUAGCUAGUAGGUGGGGUAACGGCUCACCUAGGCGACGAUCCCUAGCUGGUCUGAGAGGAUGACCAGGCCACCUGGAAAUGGGACCACGGCCAGACUCCUACGGGGGGGAGGAGGGGGGAAUUAUUGCCAAAGGGCGGAAGGCUGAUGGAAGCAAGGCGGGUGGAUGGAGAAGGGCUUCGGGUUGGUAAAGUACUUCAGGGGGGAGGAAGGGAGUAAAGUUAAUACCUUUGCUCAUUGACGUUACCCGCAGAAGAAGCACCGGCUAACUCCGUG